Molecule: long non-coding RNA, 1338 nt
Filed under: Gallus gallus (chicken)
Lineage: Eukaryota; Metazoa; Chordata; Aves; Galliformes; Phasianidae
Description: lncRNA (ENSGALG00010010332.1)
Source: RNAcentral
GGUGAUAGACAACAGCUAAUAGGAAUUCCCUGCUGUUACUACACGUACUGCAGCUCGACAUUUAAUCGCUGUCACAUUAUUUUCUUAUCCCAGAUUGUCCUACAUGGUAUCAUAGGAUCAGACAUCUGACAGGCCUAAAGAAGCCUUCUAGAAUAGACCAGACAUUGAAGAUUUGCCUUUGUUGUAAGAAGAGAACAAUGUCCACAGAAGUUAUAUACAUAUCCAUGUAGUAAAAUAUUUUCAUGGACAGUCAUAGCUAAUGUCAACUUUGUGUACCAUUUUGUAUUGAAAUUUCCAACUUGCCCAUCUCUACAAGUCCAUGAAAAACGUCCUUUCUUACACAUUCCAUACAUAAAUGUAUGAAAGUGCUGAAUAUCAUGUGUUUAAAAUGAAUGGGGGUUGAUGUUAAUUUGUUAUGUUAACAAGAAACAGUUUGGUAUUUCCACAUGCAAUUUGACUAUGUUAAUAGUCUACAAUCUAUCACACCAAGAAAUGACAGAAGUAACUUCUUAACUAUGUAAAAGUGUCAGGGAUUUUGCUAAUGUUUCUUCUUCAGAGGAAAGAUAACUCACACUUCCAUCUGGAUCCAGCUCAGCUGCUGCGAAAGAGCAGCAUCAGCAACCAGAGCAGCAGAAACAGCAGAGUCAGAGUUCAGGUCCCAGUGCCAUCCUGUUGUUUCUGAAGAAGAAGGAAAAUGAUACUGGAAAAAUACAGCAGAAUGCAUCAGGAAGAGGUAUUACACUUGGCUGUAAAGCUCUUAACUAAGUAACCACUGGAGGUUUUCACUUUCUUUUCUUUUAUUUUGGUAAUCAGACCUGAUCUAUGAUUCUGUUAGCACUUUGCAUGUCACAUUGAAGAUUCACACCAGAAAAGGACUGUGAUGCAUAUUCCUGAGGUCUACAGAACACCAGUGAGCUCACUGUUCUGCUGUAUGCUGGCUUUCGUCCUGGACUUCACCUGAGAGGAACAGAGCCAAAGGAAGGAGGAGAUGAGAUCAACAGCAAAAGCAGAAACCGUGAUCAACUUUUACGAGAAGAUGAAAAAAAUCAUGUGGACGCUAGCAGAAGAAAAAACACUAAACCACACAGUUAAAGUGGCCCACAGUGAAGAGAAACUGAGUAAUAUUAGCAAAGCGAGGCAAUGAAAUGUGUGAAAUUCAAGUUUAUGCUAAUGUAUGAAAUGCAGUGCUAGAUUUGGCUUCUGAAGCACCAAGCUAUUUUCUCCAACAACCAUAUUUGUCAUUUGCCCACAAAUAUAAUUAAAAGCACAGAACUAAAAGGAUUCAGAUUGCUGACCUGAUCACAGAAGUUGAGGAAGAGUUUUCCUGCUGACUCCAGG